This 248-nucleotide long non-coding RNA is filed under the name Elaeis guineensis (African oil palm). RNAcentral's name for it is "long non-coding RNA (EGUI_LNC015231)". The record is from RNAcentral. Lineage: Eukaryota; Viridiplantae; Streptophyta; Magnoliopsida; Arecales; Arecaceae.
GGUGCCAGAAGUUGUGGGUGGCAUAUUAAUCUUAGUCAGACUGAUGCCGACUAGAGAGAGCAGACUUUAGUCAGCUGAAAAUCCAUGCCGAUGUCCAGUGUCGACCUUGCCAGUUGGGACUGCUCAAUCCGAGCCAGGUUGAAUGAAGAUGGCUUAGUCGAUAAAGCUUCCUUAGUCGGCUCAAAUACGAGAAGGCUGGAUAGUCAGCUAAGUGACGGAGGAUCUACCCCAACACUUGCAUCCUAACU